UUAAUUUGUUCCUUCGUUGAAUUGACCUUUUAAAUUCUAAUUGUCAAUCAUUGGACUGAUUUUUCCAAAAAUUAAUUUUUCUAAUUGUUAUUCAAUUUUUGUUUGAUUUAAAUUCUCAAUUACUAAAGUUUGUAGAUCUUCAAAUUUGAUUAGAUUUGAAUUGUAAUCAAUCGGAGAGAAAAAAAUUGAAAUAAUUAAAACCGUUGGAUGAUUGGAGAGACCCUUUAAUUAAAGUAUAUAGGUGAUUGUAAAGAGGAUAAAUACCUUGUCGUUAAUGGUGGUGACAAUUUAAUGAUUUGGUUAAAUUGUUCUCAUGGUUAUCCCGUUGGUGACUCCUUAAGGUGGGCUGUUUCUUAAUCCAGUCCAGAAAUCAAGGCCAUGUGAGGCCUCACCUUUUAUGUAAAGGAAAAGCAUAAUUAUGACUUUACCAUUGGCGAAGCACAAAAAGUUGAUUACAUUGGAUAAAGAAAGUGAUUAAAAAGAGGAGAUGAGACAAAUUGGAAAACUGAUUUAAUGUUAAUCAUCGUUCGUCAUUAGCUAUGGGUAUACAAAUUAUUCUGUUAGCAAUUUGAAUAGCGACCAAUUUAACACCAAAGGGAAAAUGUCAAAUUAUUCAAAUACAUUCACUGAUUAUAUUUAUUAAGAUGCAACAAUUUACCCAAGACACUCAAGUAAUUUGUGAAUUGCUUUCAUCUCCAAACCUCAACUAAUUAACUGAACAACCAGAUAAUUCACAUUUCCGUUACAAUUAAGAGUUGACAUGACAACAAUCACAAUUCCUAUGACAAGAUAAAGUAACGAUUGAUCCUCAUUUAAUAUCAUCAUCAUCGUGUUGAUCAAAUUAAAUAGUGUAACAAUUAUGUUACUUUUAUGGCAAUUGAAUCAAUGGAAAACAAAGUCAAACCAAAAUCAAAUUGGAAUCAACAAGUUAACUUGACGAAAAAGAUAAUUGAAAGUUAAAUCCAGUUACCAACUUGAUCAUCUCCCUCUUUUUUAUCAACAAUCAAAUUAAUCCAUGAAUCUGUUUCAGUUAUUCAAACAUUUGCUCAACAAUCAAUCAAUAACAUUUAUUGUUAAAUCAAAUAGCUAUUUGAUUACUAGUAAUCAAUUAACUUCAGCAAUCAACAUCUAAUUGCAAAUAACAAUCUUUUUUGAUUGAAACAAUUUGACAAUGAAUAACAUUGUUAAUUCAACGAGAAAGUUAAAUUGUGAUCCCAACAAUUACGAGUUAAUAGUAAUCAAUUCUAAGAUUAGAAUUGGAUUAACCUCUAAAUCGUUUGAAAUUAAACUUGAUUAACAUGGGAAAUCGUUGAUUGUUUAAUCUCCAUCGGGAGUAUUAAUCACUUUGAGAAACAGAUUAAAAGUGAUUUAAUUAUAAUUACAAUUUAAAUGUUGUGAUAAAUUCCAAUUCACAGAAUCAAAAAAUUGUUAAAUUAUCUAAAAUUUAGUUUAUAAAUUGUUACAAGUUAAUCAGUUGGACUAAUUUUCUCUGGCAACUUUUAUGAUCAUUUUAUUCAAUUCUCAAUCUACAAUCAAUAAAUUGAAAAUUUCAGUUAACAAUUAAGACAUGGAAAAGAGGAAACAACUAGAAAGAUAAUCGUAAUCAAUAAUUAACUUAAUUGUUAACCUUUAUCCAAUAAUUGAUUGUUCAAUUUUGUUGUCAUUAAUUUUUUUCUCUCUUAAUUCAAUUGUAUUUUUAAUCACAGAUUAAAUCAACUAAUUAUUGUUCAUUGUUGUCAAUGUGUUGGUAUCAUUACAAAAGCACUUAAAUUAUCGCUAAAUUGUUUUCCUAAUUAUGGAUUCUCACAAAAUCUAUUGUUAUUUUGUACUUGUAAUUAUAUCAAAAUUACUGAUCAAUUAACCUAAUCAAUGAUUCCAAUUGAGCUGAUGAUUAGUUGAUCGAUUCAAGUUGAAAAUUUGUAUUCCAACAUUUGAAAGGGAGUAACAAAGAGUAUCACAAUUAGAAUUUAAUUAAACGUGUGAUUUAGUGAGAACUGGAUUAAAGAUGGCAAUUAAAACCGCCGAUGAAAAAACUCGAUUGGUCUCUGGUCCAUCUCGAAAAUAUGGUUCAAAGGAUAUCUCGAUGCCUACGAAGUUUACGAUUCAGUGCCAAGCUUCUUUUAUAAAGGAAGUCAUCUUGCUCUUUUCAUCGUUGUGAUCAUCAUAAUGGUUUCCUUUGUGAGUGCUUCAUUAAGUUUCGGACUCAAGAGACUGGAAGAGAUUUAAAAUUAAUCACUAAUCAUCAAAAGACGAUCAGAAUUACGGAUCAUAUUCAUGGGGAAGAUAAUUUGGAUUCAUUAGUUGAAUUGCGUUUCCAUUUGAGGUGAAAAUGAUCAUGGUGAUUUUAAACAAUCCUUUUUGAUUAUCACUCCAUUUAGUGUUUGUAUUAAUCGUUACAAUCAAUGAAUAAAAACUUUGUGCCUUAA
Panonychus citri (citrus red mite) is the source of this 2426-nucleotide long non-coding RNA. RefSeq lists it as uncharacterized. The record is from RefSeq and is a predicted model, not a curated record. The transcript has 3 exons. Lineage: Eukaryota; Metazoa; Arthropoda; Arachnida; Trombidiformes; Tetranychidae.